GCCCUUCAGAAACAUCUUAUAGAAGUGUAAUGAUAUAGAGAACAUUAGCAUGGCCUUGUGCAAGGACGGCACACAUGAAUAGAGAAAUGGUCCUACAUGUA
RNAcentral lists this small nuclear RNA (101 nucleotides) under Solanum tuberosum (potato). Lineage: Eukaryota; Viridiplantae; Streptophyta; Magnoliopsida; Solanales; Solanaceae. The record is from RNAcentral.